AUGGCUAGUGGCACCAAUGAUUUGGAAGACAGCGAAGGGAUGUACCUUGACGAUGAUUUAGAUGAAACAUUUCCUUCGCAAAGCCAGUUUGAAGAAGGACACACUCAGUUACUUGAUGUAGGUGGCGGAGACCCCCAGUUUGAUGUCGAAAAGUUCCUGAACAACCUGCGGAAUUUGUUUUACUCAUCAAAUCACAAUGCCAAUUCUUCUAAGAAUACCUGUUUUCUUGGUCAGUGUGCCCCACUUCCUCCGAAGAAGGCAACGAGCAGGUGUAAUCAUGGCUAUUUCAGUGAUCUGCUGAAGAAAAUUCCACCAUCAAGAUUAGAUGUCAUUAAAAACUAUGCUUGCUCUUUUAUUCUUGAUUUUGAGUGCAAUUUUGUUCCAAGAGGAUUUGCGCAUUGGAUAGUAGGGAAAGUAAAUCCACCUAUUAGUGACAUAGUUCUUGACAAUAAAGUAAUUCCAAUGAGCCCCAAAUCAUUUCAUCUACUACUUGGUCUUCCAUUAGGUGGCACUUUAGUUUUAUUUGACAGUGAAGUGACAAAAGCAACUUUCCUCAAUAUUAUUGGUGAACAGUGCCCUCUAUUAAAAGGUUUGGGUUGA
This 600-nucleotide ribosomal RNA is filed under the name Triticum aestivum (bread wheat). RNAcentral describes it as "partial small subunit ribosomal RNA". Lineage: Eukaryota; Viridiplantae; Streptophyta; Magnoliopsida; Poales; Poaceae. The record is from RNAcentral.